Non-coding RNA from Triticum aestivum (bread wheat), 135 nucleotides. The record is from Rfam. NCBI's taxonomy places the organism in Eukaryota, Viridiplantae, Streptophyta, Magnoliopsida, Poales, Poaceae.
UUUGUAUUCCCUCCGUUCCGAAUUAUUUGUCUUAGACUUGUCUAGAUAUAGAGAUAUCUUGCACUAAAAUGAGUCUAGAUACAUUCGUAUCUAGACAAAACCAAGACAAGUAAUUCGGAACGGAGGGAGUAGGUU